CAGCAGCCACGGUAAUACGUAGGGUGCAAGCGUUAAUCGGAAUUACUGGGCGUAAAGCGUGCGCAGGCGGUUUGUUAAGACAGAUGUGAAAUCCCCGGGCUCAACCUGGGAACUGCAUUUGUGACUGGCAAGCUAGAGUGUGGCAGAGGGGGGUGGAAUUCCGCGUGUAGCAGUGAAAUGCGUAGAUAUGCGGAGGAACACCGAUGGCGAAGGCAGCCCCCUGGGCCAACACUGACGCUCAUGCACGAAAGCGUGGGGAGCAAACAGGAUUAGAUACCCCCGUAGUCCCUGUCUCUUAUAA
RNAcentral lists this ribosomal RNA (301 nucleotides) under uncultured bacterium. Its description in RNAcentral is "partial 16S ribosomal RNA". It matches the Rfam family "Bacterial small subunit ribosomal RNA", at positions 509 to 809 of the family's 1533-position model. The record is from RNAcentral.